RNAcentral lists this ribosomal RNA (273 nucleotides) under uncultured bacterium. RNAcentral's name for it is "partial 16S ribosomal RNA". It matches the Rfam family "Bacterial small subunit ribosomal RNA", at positions 524 to 796 of the family's 1533-position model. The record is from RNAcentral.
UACGGGGGGGGCAAGCGUUGUUCGGAAUUACUGGGCGUAAAGGGCUCGUAGGCGGCCAACUAAGUCCGACGUGAAAUCCCCAGGCUUAACCUGGGAACUGCGUCGGAUACUGGAUGGCUUGAAUUCGGGAGAGGGAUGCAGAAUUCCAGGUGUAGCGGUGAAAUGCGUAGAUAUCUGGAGGAAUACCGGUGGCGAAGGCGGCAUCCUGGACCGACAUUGACGCUGAGGAGCGAAAGCUAGGGGAGCAAACGGGAUUAGAAACCCCAGUAGUCC